This 253-nucleotide ribosomal RNA is filed under the name uncultured bacterium. Its description in RNAcentral is "partial 16S ribosomal RNA". It matches the Rfam family "Bacterial small subunit ribosomal RNA", at positions 524 to 776 of the family's 1533-position model. The record is from RNAcentral.
UACGGAGGGUCCAAGCGUUGUUCGGAAUUACUGGGCGUAAAGCGCACGUAGGCGGGCGUAUAAGUCAGAUGUGAAAGCCCCGGGCUUAACCCGGGAAUUGCAUUUGAAACUGUAUGUCUUGAAUGCUUGAGAGGAUGACGGAAUUCCUGGUGUAGAAGUGAAAUUCGUAGAUAUCAGGAGGAACACCGGAGGCGAAGGCGGUUGUCUGGCGAUGCAUUGACGCUGAGGUGCGAAAGCGUGGGGAGCAAACAGG